UGGGGGAUAUUGCACAAUGGGCGAAAGCCUGAUGCAGCGACGCCGCGUGAGGGAAGACGGCCUUCGGGUUGUAAACCUCUGUCAUUCGGGACGAAUAUAUGACGGUACCGAAGAAGGAAGCUCCGGCUAACUACGUGCCAGCAGCCGCGGUAAUACGUAGGGAGCGAGCGUUGUCCGGAAUUACUGGGUGUAAAGGGAGCGUAGGCGGGAAAGCAAGUUGGAAGUGAAAUGCAUGGGCUUAACCCAUGAGCUGCUUUCAAAACUGUUUUUCUUGAGUGAAGUAGAGGCAGGCGGAAUUCCUAGUGUAGCGGUGAAAUGCGUAGAUAUUAGGAGGAACACCAGUGGCGAAGGCGGCCUGCUGGGCUUUAACUGACGCUGAGGCUCGAAAGCGUGGGUAGCAAACA
Molecule: ribosomal RNA, 404 nt
Filed under: uncultured bacterium
Lineage: Bacteria
Description: bacterial SSU rRNA
Rfam family: Bacterial small subunit ribosomal RNA
Source: RNAcentral